UCGAAAUCGGGUAGACGCUACGGACUUAAAUAAUUUGAGCGAAAAUCCGUUGGCUUUAUUGACCGUGAGGGUUCAAGUCCC
This 81-nucleotide transfer RNA is filed under the name Ulota lutea. RNAcentral's name for it is "partial tRNA-Leu". The record is from RNAcentral. RNAcentral also lists the same sequence under 1 other name. Lineage: Eukaryota; Viridiplantae; Streptophyta; Bryopsida; Orthotrichales; Orthotrichaceae.